UACGUAGGGGCCGAGCGUUGUCCGGAUUUAUUGGGCGUAAAGCGCACGUAGGCGGAUUUGUAAGUCAGGGGUGAAAUCCCGGGGCUCAACCUCGGAACUGCCUUUGAUACUGCAAAUCUCGAGUCCGGAAGAGGUGAGUGGAAUACCCAGUGUAGAGGUGAAAUUCGUAGAUAUUGGGUAGAACACCGGUGGCGAAGGCGGCUCACUGGCUCGUAACUGACGCUCAUGCACGACAGCGUGGGGAUCAAACAGG
This 253-nucleotide ribosomal RNA is filed under the name uncultured bacterium. Its description in RNAcentral is "partial 16S ribosomal RNA". It matches the Rfam family "Bacterial small subunit ribosomal RNA", at positions 524 to 776 of the family's 1533-position model. The record is from RNAcentral.